Molecule: non-coding RNA, 87 nt
Submitted as: unclassified sequences
Source: Rfam
GAGAAUCAGAGGACGGAACGGGCAGCCGUCGCCAGAUGGUCGAGUGACCUGAAUAGGAGAUGCAGGAAUGUCACCCUGCCUAUUCUC